UAGGGAAUCUUCGGCAAUGGACGAAAGUCUGACCGAGCAACGCCGCGUGAGCGAAGAAGGUUUUCGGAUCGUAAAACUCUGUUGUUAGAGAAGAACAAGGACGUUAGUAACUGAACGUCCCCUGAUGGUAUCUAACCAGAAAGCCACGGCUAACUACGUGCCAGCAGCCGCGGUAAUACGUAGGUGGCAAGCGUUGUCCGGAUUUAUUGGGCGUAAAGCGAGCGCAGGCGGUUUCUUAAGUCUGAUGUGAAAGCCCCCGGCUCAACCGGGGAGGGUCAUUGGAAACUGGGAGACUUGAGUGCAGAAGAGGAGAGUGGAAUUCCAUGUGUAGCGGUGAAAUGCGUAGAUAUAUGGAGGAACACCAGUGGCGAAGGCGGCUCUCUGGUCUGUAACUGACGCUGAGGCUCGAAAGCGUGGGGAGCAAACAGG
RNAcentral lists this ribosomal RNA (429 nucleotides) under Gemmatimonadota bacterium. RNAcentral describes it as "Gemmatimonadetes bacterium partial 16S ribosomal RNA". It matches the Rfam family "Bacterial small subunit ribosomal RNA", at positions 355 to 776 of the family's 1533-position model. Lineage: Bacteria; Pseudomonadati; Gemmatimonadota. The record is from RNAcentral.